Molecule: long non-coding RNA, 495 nt
Organism: Mus musculus (house mouse)
Lineage: Eukaryota; Metazoa; Chordata; Mammalia; Rodentia; Muridae
Product: predicted gene 8273
Exons: 1
Source: RefSeq, marked validated
GAAGCGUCCGCGACCCUCGUUCGGGCGUCCUUGACCUGCCUCAGGCGAGGCUGCGUCCCGAGAGCCCUCCUGCCUUCGCCGCCCGCCUCGCGGACCUCCGGGCUCUGGUCGAGGCCGCCGCCCGCGGUGCCCGGAUGUCGCGGGCUUAAAGGGCCAGUGCCGCGCAGCCGCCGCGACGUGCGCUCCGAGCGAGCGGGCGGCCCGGGCAGCCUGAGGAGGCCCGGCUUCCGCAGCCGGCCGGUCCCUGUGAUUGGCGGAGGCGUCCAGAAUGCUGCACGUCGUAGGUUCCGCCUUUGCCGGGUCAAAAUGGUGCGGGCGAGGCCCUGCACUGGACGGCCCGGGCCUGGCGAUCGGGGACCCUAGAAAGGGAACGCUAAGUUGUUUGAGAUCGCGGAUAGGGGCGAUGGCGUCGAGGUGCGGUUUAAAAAUUAUACGGUCCUCAACAGGAAAAAUAAAAUUGUUGUGUUCGACAUUAAAGAUUUCUUUUAAAAUGGA